Molecule: transfer RNA, 74 nt
Filed under: Coxiella-like endosymbiont
Lineage: Bacteria; Pseudomonadati; Pseudomonadota; Gammaproteobacteria; Legionellales; Coxiellaceae
Description: tRNA-Pro
Rfam family: tRNA
About the family: Transfer RNA (tRNA) molecules are approximately 80 nucleotides in length.
Source: RNAcentral
CGGGGUGUAGCUCAACUUGGUAGAGCACUGCCUUCGGGAGGUAGUGGCUAGAGGUUCAAAUCCUCUCACCCCGA